AUUGAACGCUGGCGGCAGGCCUAACACAUGCAAGUCGAACGGUAACAGGAAGAAGCUUGCUUCUUUGCUGACGAGUGGCGGACGGGUGAGUAAUGUCUGGGAAACUGCCUGAUGGAGGGGGAUAACUACUGGAAACGGUAGCUAAUACCGCAUAACGUCGCAAGACCAAAGAGGGGGACCUUCGGGCCUCUUGCCCUCGGAUGUGCCCAGAUGGGAUUAGCUAGUAGGUGGGGUAACGGCUCACCUAGGCGACGAUCCCUAGCUGGUCUGAGAGGAUGAUCAGCCACACUGGAACUGAGACACGGUCCAGACUCCUACGGGAGGCAGCAGUGGGGAAUAUUGCACAAUGGGCGCAAGCCUGAUGCAGCCAUGCCGCGUGGAUGAAGAAGGCCUUCGGGUUGUAAAGUACUUUCAGCGGGGAGGAAGGGAGUAAGGUUAAUACCUUGGCUUAUUGACGUUACCCGAAGAAGAAGCACCGGCUAACUCCGUG
Molecule: ribosomal RNA, 490 nt
Filed under: uncultured bacterium
Lineage: Bacteria
Description: partial 16S ribosomal RNA
Rfam family: Bacterial small subunit ribosomal RNA
Source: RNAcentral